GCGUCUUAAGGCUCAGCCUUGUGUUGAGAUUUCCUGGCAAAGGAACUCUCCAAGCAUCUGGGCGUCCGUCGUGCCUGAAUCGCAACACACUGCGUGUAGGGAUUUUCGGCAAGUCGCCAAAAACCGUCUA
This 130-nucleotide unclassified non-coding RNA is filed under the name uncultured Leotiomycetes. RNAcentral's name for it is "sequence contains ITS2". The record is from RNAcentral. Lineage: Eukaryota; Fungi; Ascomycota; Leotiomycetes.